This 254-nucleotide ribosomal RNA is filed under the name uncultured bacterium. Its description in RNAcentral is "partial 16S ribosomal RNA". It matches the Rfam family "Bacterial small subunit ribosomal RNA", at positions 524 to 776 of the family's 1533-position model. The record is from RNAcentral.
UACGGGGGGAGCAAGCGUUGUUCGGAUUUACUGGGCGUAAAGGGCGCGUAGGCGGUCAGCACAAGUCAGUUGUGAAAUCUCCGAGCUUAACUCGGAAAGGUCAACUGAUACUGUGCGGCUAGAGUGCAGAAGGGGCAACUGGAAUUCUUGGUGUAGCGGUGAAAUGCGUAGAUAUCAAGAGGAACACCUGCGGCGAAGGCGGGUUGCUGGGCUGACACUGACGCUGAUGCGCGAAAGCUAGGGGAGCGAACGGG